GAAAAGCCAGAGUGAAGCAGACCAUUAGCAGAUAAUUGUCAUAAUCUUGAUACUAAAUGGAGACCAGAAUUAAGUUACAACACUGAAUACAGAAACUUGAAGAACAACAUCAUUUCAGUCAGGAGUACCAAAAAGAGCUUUUAAGGAAACAGAAGCAGAAAAUGGCAUAGAAGCUGAAACUAAAAUAUUCAUUGAAGUCAGAAGGCAAAGGAUCCUUUGACGUAGUCCAUUCAGAGCAGAAGGAGAAGAAUGCAGAGUGCAUCUGCAGGGACACAUAGAGGAUGCAGCGCAAUGGAGACACUGUUUAAUGCCACAGGGGACCUGGGCUCUUUUCCUCUCUCCUAUCUGCCUUGUGAAGAAGGUACUUGGUUCUCCUUUGCCUUCCGCAAUGAUUUUAAGCUGUGUGAGGCCUCCCCAGCCAUGCAGAACUGCUUUCAAAGAAUUGAAUGAAGCCCAUCCGCACUGGGAAGGCAGUCUGCUUUGUUCAGCCUACUGAUCCAACUGUCAAUCUCAUCCAGAAACACCUUCCCAGAUGCACCAAGAAUGUUUAAGCAAAUAUCUGGGC
This is a long non-coding RNA of Symphalangus syndactylus (siamang), 565 nucleotides long. RefSeq lists it as uncharacterized. Lineage: Eukaryota; Metazoa; Chordata; Mammalia; Primates; Hylobatidae. The record is from RefSeq and is a predicted model, not a curated record.